GACGAACGCUGGCGGCGUGCUUAACACAUGCAAGUCGAACGGUAAGGCCCUUCGGGGUACACGAGUGGCGAACGGGUGAGUAACAGGUGGGUGGUCUGCCCUGCACUUCGGGAUAAGCCUGGGAAACUGGGUCUAAUACCGGAUAGGACCACUGCCUGCAUGGGUGGUGGUGGAAAGCUUUUGCGGUGUGGGAUGGGCCCGCGGCCUAUCAGCUUGUUGGUGGGGUGAUGGCCUACCAAGGCGACGACGGGUAGCCGGCCUGAGAGGGUGACCGGCCACACUGGGACUGAGAUACGGCCCAGACUCCUACGGGAGGCAGCAGUGGGGAAUAUUGCACAAUGGGCGCAAGCCUGAUGCAGCGACGCCGCGUGAGGGAUGACGGCCUUCGGGUUGUAAACCUCUUUCAGCACCGACGAAGCGCAAGUGACGGUAGGUGCAGAAGAAGGACCGGCCAACUACGUGCCAGCCGCCGCGGUAA
This 478-nucleotide ribosomal RNA is filed under the name uncultured bacterium. RNAcentral's name for it is "partial 16S ribosomal RNA". It matches the Rfam family "Bacterial small subunit ribosomal RNA", at positions 28 to 523 of the family's 1533-position model. The record is from RNAcentral.